This 403-nucleotide ribosomal RNA is filed under the name uncultured bacterium. Its description in RNAcentral is "bacterial SSU rRNA". It matches the Rfam family "Bacterial small subunit ribosomal RNA", at positions 355 to 774 of the family's 1533-position model. The record is from RNAcentral.
UGAGGGAUAUUGGUCAAUGGGCGCAAGCCUGAACCAGCGACGCCGCGUGGGUGAAGAAGGUCUUCGGAUCGUAAAGCCCUUUUCCCACUGAAGAGGAAGGACGGUAGGUGGGGAAGAAGUCUCGGCUAACUACGUGCCAGCAGCCGCGGUAAAACGUAGGAGACAAGCGUUAUCCGGAGUUACUGGGCGUAAAGGGCGUGCAGGUGGCGUCUUAAGUCUGUUGUGAAAGCGCCUGGCUUAACCGGGCGAGGCCAGUGGAGACUGAGAGGCUGGAGGACGGCGGAGGGGUGUGGAAUUCCGGGUGUAGUGGUGAAAUGCGUAGAGAUCCGGAGGAACACCAGAGGCGAAGGCGGCACUCUAAGCCGUACCUGACACUGAGACGCGACAGCACGGGGAGCAAACG